AUUCAAUUAGUCACUCUGUGUCCAAGGUGUGCCUUUCACAAUGUUUUAUACACACACGCCAGUAGAUUCAAUUAGCCACUGUGUGUCCAAGGUGUGCCUUUCACAAUGUUUUAUACACACACGCCAGUAGAUUCAAUUAGCCACUGUGUGUCCAAGGUGUGCCUUUCACAAUGUUUUAUACACACACGCCAGUAGAUUCAAUUAGCCACUGUGUGUCCAAGGUGUGCCUUUCACAAUGUUUUAUACACACACGCCAGUAGAUUCAAUUAGCCACUGUGUGUCCAAGGUGUGCCUUUCACAAUGUUUUAUACACACACGCCAGUAGAUUCAAUUAGCCACUGUGUGUCCAAGGUGUGCCUUUCACAAUGUUUUAUACACACACGCCAGUAGAUUCAAUUAGCCACUGUGUGUCCAAGGUGUGCCUUUCACAAUGUUUUAUACACACACGCCAGUAGAUUCAAUUAGCCACUGUGUGUCCAAGGUGUGCCUUUCACAAUGUUUUAUACACACACGCCAGUAGAUUCAAUUAGCCACUGUGUGUCCAAGGUGUGCCUUUCACAAUGUUUUAUACACACACGCCAGUAGAUUCAAUUAGCCACUGUGUGUCCAAGGUGUGCCUUUCACAAUGUUUUAUACACACCCACCAGUAGAUU
Oncorhynchus keta (chum salmon) is the source of this 653-nucleotide long non-coding RNA. RefSeq lists it as uncharacterized. NCBI's taxonomy places the organism in Eukaryota, Metazoa, Chordata, Actinopteri, Salmoniformes, Salmonidae. The record is from RefSeq and is a predicted model, not a curated record. The transcript is spliced from 4 exons.